Long non-coding RNA from Monopterus albus (swamp eel), 856 nucleotides. RefSeq lists it as uncharacterized. The record is from RefSeq and is a predicted model, not a curated record. The transcript has 5 exons. Lineage: Eukaryota; Metazoa; Chordata; Actinopteri; Synbranchiformes; Synbranchidae.
GGUCCUUCAAGUUAGUAUCCGGUGGCAGUUCUGUAAGUUUGAUUGCAGCGGAGAUUUAAGAUGCGUACCAGCGGGAGCUGUUGUGCUACUCAGGUGGGAUACUUUAUGUAGCGUUAGCCGAAUGCUAAUGUAGGGCGUCAGCAAACCUCUGCUAGCAAGAAAAUUUUCAAGGAGGAGAAAAUAAGACGCCGGCCGGUUUGGACCUCAUUGGGUCUUCAUCAGCACAGAAUCCCAACAACUCAUUUGCACCUGUACGUUUCCGCCCUGAUGAAGACCACGAGGUUAAAACCGGUCGGCGUCUUUUUACUGAGAUGCCCUGUUACAGCCACAGAACCCACGCACAAGAUUAAAUAGUCUCGGGCGUGUUACGAGGAGGACCGACAGCGUUCCGGGCCCAUCACUCCUGCAUUUGGACAUCAACUGCAAAUUGAUGAGCCUGCCUUGAAGCCAAGAUGAGCUGAUACGACUGGGGUCACUCAUGCAGAACAAGACAGCUUUCAACUUUUUGGCCCCUAUAAAAUCAUGCCAUUUCAGGUCUUGCUACUUUAUAACCAGUACCUGCCAUCUUUGAUAUUAAAACAGAACAAGAAAGUCUUACAGUUGUCAUAGCUUUAUUGAAGAAAAACAAAACAGGGCCUGGAAACUGCGCUUUUGCCCAAGGUAGAGUACCUCAUCUUCUACAUGUGCCUGGGCCAGUUAUGAAGACUCCUAGUUAUUCGAGAAGUCUUCACAACUGAUCCAGGCACCUGCAUUGCAACAGCAUGAAGAUGUGAAGUACUCUACCUUGAUGACUCCACCAGUAGGCAUUUCCCAUCUUAGCCAAAACCAUCCAGCUCCACCAGCUGCUGAGGAGAGC